AAUUUUAGUGUUAAUUUUAGAUUAUUUAAAUAAUAAUUUAUGUUUAUAUGUAGUAAUUAAUAUUAAAUUAUUUAAGAAAUUAAGAUUUAGUAAUAUUUUAAUUAAUAACAAAUUUUGUGCCAGCAGUUGCGGUUAUACAAAAGUUAAAUUAAAUUUUAUUAGUAAUUAAUUAAUAAAAAUAUAUUAUAAUAAAAAUUUUAAAUUAUUAGGUGAAAUUUUAAUUUAAUGAAAUUUUAUAUAUUUAUUUAUGAUUUAAUAAAUUUUAUAAAAAACUAGGAUUAGAUACCCUAUUAUUAAAAUUUAAAAUUAAAAUACUAAAAUAGUAAAUAAUUAUUUAUUGAAACUUAAAUAAUUUGGCGGUAUUUUAGUUCAUUUAGAGGAAUCUGUUUAAUAAUUGAUAUUCCACGAAUAAAUUUACUUAGUUUAUAAUUUUGUAUAUCGUUGUUAAAAAAAUAUUUUUUAAUAAAAUUAAUAUUUAAAAAUUAUUAUAUAAAUUUAAAUCAGAUCAAGAUGCAGAUUAUAAUUAAGAAUAUAAUGGAUUACAAUAAAUUUAUUUAAAUGAAUAUUAAUUUGUAAUAAUUAAUUGAAAGUGGAUUUAAAUGUAAUUUUAUUUAGUUUAAUAAAAUGAUUAAAAAUUAAAAUAUGUACAUAUUGCCCGUCGCUUUCAUAUAAAUAAAAGUUGAAAUAAGUCGUAACAAAGUAGAGGUACUGGAAAGUGUUUCUAGAAAGAA
This 731-nucleotide non-coding RNA is filed under the name Cosmia restituta. Lineage: Eukaryota; Metazoa; Arthropoda; Insecta; Lepidoptera; Noctuidae. The record is from RNAcentral.